RNAcentral lists this ribosomal RNA (466 nucleotides) under uncultured bacterium. RNAcentral's name for it is "partial 16S ribosomal RNA". It matches the Rfam family "Bacterial small subunit ribosomal RNA", at positions 28 to 523 of the family's 1533-position model. The record is from RNAcentral.
GAUGAACGCUGGCGGCGUGCCUAACACAUGCAAGUCGAGCGAACCCUUCGGGGUGAGCGGCGGACGGGUGAGUAACGCGUGGGUAACCUGCCCUAUACACACGGAUAACGUACCGAAAGGUACGCUAAUACGAGAUAACAUAUUUUUAUUGCAUGGUAGAAAUAUCAAAGCUCCGGCGGUAUAGGAUGGACCCGCGUCUGAUUAGCUAGUUGGUAAGGUAAUGGCUUACCAAGGCGACGAUCAGUAGCCGACCUGAGAGGGUGAUCGGCCACAUUGGAACUGGGACCCGGUCCAAACUCCUACGGGAGGCAGCAGUGGGGAAUAUUGCACAAUGGGCGAAAGCCUGAUGCAGCAACGCCGCGUGAGCGAUGAAGGCCUUCGGGUCGUAAAGCUCUGUCCUCAAGGAAGAUAAUGACGGUACUUGAGGAGGAAGCCCCGGCUAACUACGUGCCAGCAGCCGCCGCAG